UUUUUAUUAAGCUUCUUAGUGCUUGGAUGUUGGGAGCUUGCUGGCAUCUUUAGAUGUUCGGCUCUCCUCAAAUUUAUUAGUGGAAGUCUCUUUGUUGGAGUUCAUCCUUGGUGUGAUAAUUAUCUACGCUUUGGAUAGUCCAAUGUUUCCAUUGAGAGAAGAUUAUUCAGUUGAAUACCAUGUCUUUGGUGUUUUUCUGGUUUUUGUAGUAUUGCAACUUGUUGCUUUACUUGAAAUCUCAGAGGGAAAGAGAAGUUUUUGCUCUCUAACUGUCCAUUCUAUUGUGGACAACUUAUUGACUAUUUGACCUCAAAUCAGGUAGGACUACCCGCUGAACUUAAGCAUAUCAAUAAGCGGAGGAAAAGAAACUAACAAGGAUUCCCCUAGUAACUGCGAGUGAAGAGGGAACAGCUCAAAUUUAAAAUCUGGCAGUCU
RNAcentral lists this ribosomal RNA (435 nucleotides) under Gymnopus densilamellatus. RNAcentral describes it as "eukaryotic LSU rRNA". The stretch from base 305 to 435 matches the Rfam family "Eukaryotic large subunit ribosomal RNA", at positions 1 to 131 of the family's 3401-position model. Lineage: Eukaryota; Fungi; Basidiomycota; Agaricomycetes; Agaricales; Omphalotaceae. The record is from RNAcentral.